RNAcentral lists this unclassified non-coding RNA (382 nucleotides) under uncultured bacterium. RNAcentral describes it as "contains 16S-23S intergenic spacer region". The record is from RNAcentral.
UCCGGUUUGACACCGGCAGUCUCGCUAGAGUACCCGGCAUUACCCGCUGGCAACUAGCGACAAGGGUUGCGCUCGUUAAGGGACUUAACCCGACACUUCACAGCACGAGCUGACGACAGCCAUGCAGCACUUGUGCUCGUUCCACCCUUGCGGGCACCCCACUGUUUCCAGCGGGUUCUAAGGAUGUCAAGUCCUGGUGAGGUUCUUCGCUUAGUGUCGAAUUAAACCACAUGCUCCACCGCUUGUGUGGAUCCCCGUCAAUUCCUUUGAGUUUUAGCCUUGCGGCCGUACUUCCCAGGCGGGUUACUUAACGCGUUAGCUUAGGCUCGUACGGGGUCGAGACCGCACAAACCGAGUAACCAUCGUUUACGGCGUGGACUAC